RNAcentral lists this unclassified non-coding RNA (1419 nucleotides) under uncultured Neocallimastigales. RNAcentral describes it as "partial contains small subunit ribosomal RNA, internal transcribed spacer 1, 5.8S ribosomal RNA, internal transcribed spacer 2, and large subunit ribosomal RNA". The stretch from base 662 to 1419 matches the Rfam family "Eukaryotic large subunit ribosomal RNA", at positions 1 to 617 of the family's 3401-position model. Lineage: Eukaryota; Fungi; Neocallimastigomycota; Neocallimastigomycetes; Neocallimastigales. The record is from RNAcentral.
UUUCCGUAGGUGAACCUGCGGAAGGAUCAUUAAAAAAUUGGACUCCAUUGGUGAGUUCAUUAAUAAUCCCUACCCUUUGUGAAUUUGUUUGUUUGAAUAAUUUUUUUUCCAAAAAAAAUUAUUGAAUGUCUUUCCUUGUUUUGGUGGAGCUUGUAAAGUGAAACCAGGCAGGGGAAUGGCAAACAAUAAUUAUUUUUGAAAAAGACCUUUUUUUAAAAUUAAACUUUUUGUAUUCAUUUGUCUAAAAUUAAUUUUUAUAAUAUAAAAACAACUUUUGACAAUGGAUCUCUUGGUUCUCGCAACGAUGAAGAACGCAGCAAAAUGCGAUAAGUAGUGUGAAUUGCAGAAUACGUGAAUCAUCGAAUCUUCGAACGCAUAUUGCACUUUUUUAGUUUACUAAAAAAGUAUGUCUGUUUGAGUAUCAGUAAAAUAUUCUCAUAAAAAACAUUGUUUUUUUUAUGGUUAUGAGUGUUUUACAACGAUAACAAGUUGUUUCACUUUAAAUUCUUUGUUAUCAAAAAAAUCAUUAAAAGCUAAUUUUAAAGAUUUUUUAAAAUUGGAUAAAAUUUUCCCGUAAAAAGGAAUAACCUAAACAAUUUUAAAAAAUUAAAAUUGGUUUGAUUCUUUUUGAAACCCAAAGGAAAAAAAAACGAAAUUAACUUGAUCUCAAAUCAGAUAAGAGUACCCGCUGAACUUAAGCAUAUCAAUAAGCGGAGGAAAAGAAACUAACUAGGAUUCCCUCAGUAACGGCGAGUGAAGCGGGAAGAGCUCAAAUUUGAAAUCUUCAAGGUUUUACCUUGACGAAUUGUAGUUUAAAGAAGUGUUUUCUGUUGGAGUUUUGGUAAAUGUUCUUUGGAAAAGGACAUCAUAGAGGGUGAGAAUCCCGUAUUUGACCAUUAUCUCCAGCUUUGUGAUACACUUUCAAAGAGUCGGAUUGUUUGGGAAUGCAGUCCAAAAUGGGUGGUAAAUUUCAUCUAAAGCUAAAUACUGGCGAGAGACCGAUAGCGAACAAGUACCGUGAGGGAAAGAUGAAAAGAACUUUGAAAAGAGAGUUAAACAGUACGUGAAAUUGUCAAAAGGGAAGCGUUUGACACCAGUGUUGUUUUCUCGAAGAUCAAUUAAAAAAGGCCGGAUUUUGUGUUGUAUUGACUUUAUUAGCUUUCUGCACUCUUUUCUUGUCUUUUUUAAUGCACUUUUCGUUUAACAAGUCAACAUCAAUUUCUUUUGUUGUAAAAGGGUCAUUGGAAGGUGGCUUUCUUUUCGGAGAAAGUGUUUAUAGCCUUUGGCCUCUGCAAUCGGAGAGAUUGAGGUCUGCAGCGUAGAUCCUUCGGGGUUAGAUACAUUUGUGCUAAGUUAUAGCCUUUCAUAGACAACUUGUUGACUAUGAUCAGUCAUGUAGCUUACUCGCUUAUGCUAUUU